UCUUUGGAGAGUUUGAUCCUGGCUCAGGACGAACGCUGGCGGCGUGCCUAAUACAUGCAAGUCGAGCGGACCGGGCGGGAGCUUGCUUCCGCUUGGUUAGCGGCGGACGGGUGAGUAACACGUGGGUAACCUGCCCGUAAGACCGGGAUAACUCCGGGAAACCGGGGCUAAUACCGGAUAACACCGAAGACCGCAUGGUCUUCGGUUGAAAGGCGGCUUCGGCUGCCACUUACGGAUGGGCCCGCGGCGCAUUAGCUAGUUGGUGAGGUAACGGCUCACCAAGGCGACGAUGCGUAGCCGGCCUGAGAGGGUGACCGGCCACACUGGGACUGAGACACGGCCCAGACUCCUACGGGAGGCAGCAGUAGGGAAUCUUCCGCAAUGGACGAAAGUCUGACGGAGCGACGCCGCGUGAGCGAAGAAGGUCUUCGGAUCGUAAAGCUCUGUUGUUAGGGAAGAAGAAGUGCCGUUCGAACAGGGCGGCACGGUGACGGUACCUAACGAGAAAGCCCCGGCUAACUACGUGCCAGCAGCCGCGGUAAUACGUAGGGGGCGAGCGUUGUCCGGAAUUAUUGGGCGUAAAG
RNAcentral lists this ribosomal RNA (584 nucleotides) under Geobacillus sp. Its description in RNAcentral is "bacterial SSU rRNA". It matches the Rfam family "Bacterial small subunit ribosomal RNA", at positions 1 to 565 of the family's 1533-position model. Lineage: Bacteria; Bacillati; Bacillota; Bacilli; Caryophanales; Anoxybacillaceae. The record is from RNAcentral.